AGAGUUUGAUCCUGGCUCAGGAUUAACGCUAGCGGCAGGCCUAAUACAUGCAAGUCGAACGGCAGCACGGGUAGCAAUACCUGGUGGCGAGUGGCGCACGGGUGCGUAACGCGUAUGCAACCUACCUAUAACUGGGGAAUAGCCUUCUGAAAGGAAGAUUAACACCGCAUAAAAUCACUGGAUGGCAUCACCCGGUGAUCAAAUCUCCGGAGGUUAUAGAUGGACAUGCGUGACAUUAGCUAGUUGGUGAGGUAACGGCUCACCAAGGCUACGAUGUCUAGGGGGUCUGAGAGGAUGAUCCCCCACACUGGUACUGAGACACGGACCAGACUCCUACGGGAGGCAGCAGUAAGGAAUAUUGGACAAUGGGCGCAAGCCUGAUCCAGCCAUGCCGCGUGAAGGAUGACGGCCCUCUGGGUUGUAAACUUCUUUUAUACGGGAAUAAACCCCUGAUUUCUAUCGGGGCUGAAUGUACCGUAAGAAUAAGGAUCGGCUAACUUCGUGCCAGCAGCCGCGGUAAUACGAAGGAUCCAAGCGUUAUCCGGAUUUAUUGGGUUUAAAGGGUGCGUAGGUGGACUAUUAAGUCAGUGGUGAAAGCUUCCCGCUUAACGGGAAAAUUGCCAUUGAUACUGAUGGUCUUGAGUGCAUUUGAAGUGGGCGGAAUGUGUCGUGUAGUGGUGAAAUACUUAGAUAUGACACAGAACACCGAUGCGAAGGCAGCUCACUAAACUGUAACUGACACUGAGGCACGAAAGCGUGGGGAUCAAACAGGAUUAGAUACCCUGGUAGUCCACGCCCUAAACGAUGAUUACUCGAUGUGUGCGAUACACUGCACGCGUCUGGGCGAAAGCAUUAAGUAAUCCACCUGGGGAGUACGGCCGCAAGGCUGAAACUCAAAGGAAUUGACGG
This 909-nucleotide ribosomal RNA is filed under the name uncultured bacterium. RNAcentral describes it as "bacterial SSU rRNA". It matches the Rfam family "Bacterial small subunit ribosomal RNA", at positions 8 to 916 of the family's 1533-position model. The record is from RNAcentral.